UUGCGCUAAGCGGGAAGCUAGCGGUGUCCUGUCACCCGAAAUCCGCUCAAUGCGGGGCUGAAUUCCCUUUUGAGGGCUCUCACUUCCGUGUUCCAAGAGUUGUCCUAGGUCGGGCACCACGCAACGGGCGGUUACGAACCCCGUCAGGUCCGGGAGGAAGCAGCGGUAAGUAAUCCAGUCUGUGUCGUGGGUUGGCUUCGGCCCAAUCAUGACGGCUUGAGGUACGUCGGAAAGGGUUCGAUUAAGGGUGCGCAA
Molecule: signal recognition particle RNA, 255 nt
Filed under: Desulfobacterales bacterium
Lineage: Bacteria; Pseudomonadati; Thermodesulfobacteriota; Desulfobacteria; Desulfobacterales
Description: signal recognition particle sRNA large type
Rfam family: Bacterial large signal recognition particle RNA
About the family: The signal recognition particle (SRP) is a universally conserved ribonucleoprotein involved in the co-translational targeting of proteins to membranes.
Source: RNAcentral